RNAcentral lists this non-coding RNA (47 nucleotides) under Acinetobacter sp. RNAcentral's name for it is "Guanidine-II sequence". It matches the Rfam family "Guanidine-II riboswitch aptamer (mini-ykkC)". From Rfam's summary of the family: Simpler in structure and has fewer highly conserved nucleotide positions than the ykkC-yxkD leader. Despite this each of its two stem-loop structures directly bind free guanidine. RNAcentral also lists the same sequence under 1 other name. The record is from RNAcentral. Lineage: Bacteria; Pseudomonadati; Pseudomonadota; Gammaproteobacteria; Moraxellales; Moraxellaceae.
CUGGGAGGACGACCUCUCCGUAAAGGAAUCACGUUGGGACGACCCAA